Molecule: ribosomal RNA, 651 nt
Filed under: Raoultella sp.
Lineage: Bacteria; Pseudomonadati; Pseudomonadota; Gammaproteobacteria; Enterobacterales; Enterobacteriaceae
Description: bacterial SSU rRNA
Rfam family: Bacterial small subunit ribosomal RNA
Source: RNAcentral
AUGUCGACUUGGAGGUUGUUCCCUUGAGGAGUGGCUUCCGGAGCUAACGCGUUAAGUCGACCGCCUGGGGAGUACGGCCGCAAGGUUAAAACUCAAAUGAAUUGACGGGGGCCCGCACAAGCGGUGGAGCAUGUGGUUUAAUUCGAUGCAACGCGAAGAACCUUACCUACUCUUGACAUCCAGAGAACUUAGCAGAGAUGCUUUGGUGCCUUCGGGAACUCUGAGACAGGUGCUGCAUGGCUGUCGUCAGCUCGUGUUGUGAAAUGUUGGGUUAAGUCCCGCAACGAGCGCAACCCUUAUCCUUUGUUGCCAGCGAUUCGGUCGGGAACUCAAAGGAGACUGCCAGUGAUAAACUGGAGGAAGGUGGGGAUGACGUCAAGUCAUCAUGGCCCUUACGAGUAGGGCUACACACGUGCUACAAUGGCAUAUACAAAGAGAAGCGACCUCGCGAGAGCAAGCGGACCUCAUAAAGUAUGUCGUAGUCCGGAUUGGAGUCUGCAACUCGACUCCAUGAAGUCGGAAUCGCUAGUAAUCGUAGAUCAGAAUGCUACGGUGAAUACGUUCCCGGGCCUUGUACACACCGCCCGUCACACCAUGGGAGUGGGUUGCAAAAGAAGUAGGUAGCUUAACCUUCGGGAGGGCGCUUUACCA